CCGCCCCUACCCCUCCCAGAGCUGCCUGGAAGUGGUGGGGUGAGAGCUCCUCCUGGGUUACCCCUUUCCCUUUGGGGAAAGAAUUGCAGACCCAGGCCCUACCCACCAGAGGAUCUCCUCUUCCUCCCCAACACCCCUCCUGGGGGUUGGAGAGUUCAUCUACCUACAUACAUCCCCAGCUGCCUGGCUUCCAGGGUCCCCGGGCCAAAGCGAGUCAUCUGAGAUGACGGUCAAGCUAGAUUUUGAAGAAUGUCUCAAGGACUCUCCCCGAUUCCGAGCCUCAAUUGAGCUGGUGGAAGCUGAGGUGUCAGAAUUGGAGACCCGCCUAGAAAAGCUCCUCAAGCUGGGUACCUGCCUCCUGGAAAGUGGGCACCAUUACCUUGCCGCCAGCCGUGCCUUCAUAGUUGGCAUUUGUGACCUGGCUCAGCUGGGUCCACCAGAGCCCAUGAUGGCGGAGUGUCUCGAAAAAUUUACCGUGAGCCUAAACCACAAGCUGGACAUGCAUGCUGAGCUUCUUGAUGCUACUCAACACACACUGCAGCAGCAAAUUCAGACUCUGGUCAAGGAAGGUCUCCGGGGUUUCAGAGAGGCUCGCAGGGAUUUCUGGAGAGGGGCUGAGAGUCUGGAGGCUGCUCUUACCCACAAUGCAGAGGUCCCCAGGCGCCGUGUCCAAGAAGCAGAGGAGGCUGGGACUGCUUUGAGGACCGCCCGAGCUGGGUACCGAUGUCGGGCAUUGGAUUAUGCCCUGCAGGUCAAUGUGAUCGAGGAUAAGAGGAAAUUUGACAUCAUGGAGUUCGUGCUGCGUCUGGUAGAGGCCCAGGCUACCUACUUCCAGCAGGGCCAUGAAGAGCUAAACCAGCUGGCUCAGUAUCGGAAGGAGUUGGGUGCCCAGUUGCAUGACCUGGUCUUGAACUCGGCAAGAGAGAAGAGAGACAUGGAACAGAGGCACGUGUUACUGAAGCAGAAGGAGCUGGGUGGUGAGGAGCCAGAGCCAAGCCUAAAGGAGGGGUCCACUGGCUUGGUAAUGGAAGGACAUCUUUUCAAACGGGCCAGCAAUGCAUUUAAGACCUGGAGCAGACGCUGGUUCACCAUUCAGAACAACCAGCUGGUCUACCAGAAGAAAUAUAAGGACCCUGUGACUGUGGUAGUGGACGACCUUCGUCUCUGUACGGUGAAGCUCUGCCCAGACUCAGAGAGGCGUUUCUGUUUCGAAGUGGUGUCCACCAGCAAGUCCUGCUUCCUCCAGGCUGACUCUGAGCGCCUCCUGCAGCUGUGGGUCAAUGCUGUUCAGAGCAGCAUUGCCUCAGCCUUCAGUCAGGCUCAUCUUGAUAACAGCCCUCGAGGGCCCGGCCAGGUCUCCGGAUACCUUGCCCUGAGCUCUGCUGCUACUCUGGGCUCUGGCAGGGCAGCCAGAGGAAGGGAACCUGGGGGAGUCGGGCAGGUGGCAGCCCAGGUGCAAAGUGUAGAAGGAAAUGCCCAGUGCUGCGACUGCAGGGAGCCGGCCCCAGAGUGGGCCAGUAUCAACCUUGGUGUCACUCUCUGCAUUCAGUGUUCCGGCAUCCACAGGAGCCUUGGUGUUCAUUUCUCCAAAGUCCGGUCUCUAACACUUGACUCCUGGGAGCCAGAACUAGUGAAGCUUAUGUGCGAGCUGGGGAAUGUCGUCAUCAACCAGAUCUAUGAAGCCCGGGUGGAGGCCAUGGCAGUGAAGAAGCCAGGGCCCAGCGGCUCCAGGCAGGAAAAAGAAGCCUGGAUUCACGCCAAGUAUGUAGAGAAAAAGUUCCUGACUAAGCUUCCUGAAAUUCGGGGACGAAGAGGUGGCAGGGGACCCCCAAGAGGACAUCCUCCUGUGCCCCCAAAGCCUUCUAUCAGGCCGCAGCUGGCGGCUGUCAGAUCCAAGUCAGAGUCCCCUUCUGAUGACCUGGGAAGCCUGCACCCUGGGGCCCUGCUGUUUCAAGCUGCUGGACAUCCUCCAUCUCUACCUACCAUGGCUGAUGCCCUGGCCCAUGGAGCUGAUGUCAACUGGGUCAAUGGGGGUCAGGAGAAUGCCACACCUCUGAUCCGGGCCACAGCUGCUAAUUCUCUUCUGGCCUGUGAGUUUCUCCUCCAGAACGGGGCAAAUGUGAACCAAGCAGACAGUGCUGGCCGGGGCCCUCUCCACCAUGCGACCAUUCUUGGCCACACAGGCUGUCCUCUUCAGGCUUGCUUGCCUGUUCCUGAAACGGGGUGCAGAUCUGAGUGCUCGAGACACAGAAGGCAGGGACCCUCUGACCAUUGCAAUGGAAACUGCCAACGCUGACAUCGUAACCCUGCUGAGAUUGGCAAAGAUGAGGGAGGCUGAAGUGGCCCAGGGCCAGGCAGGGGAUGAGACAUAUCUUGACAUCUUCCGAGACUUCUCUCUCAUGGCAUCGGACGACCCGGAGAAAUUGAGGCGUCGCAGUCAUGACCUCCAUACUCUUUGAUUCCAGGCCCCUCCCCACUUGGUCGUGGCCUGUUCUCCAUUAAAGUCUUUCUGCUUUGC
Molecule: RNA transcript, 2518 nt
Organism: Phodopus roborovskii (desert hamster)
Lineage: Eukaryota; Metazoa; Chordata; Mammalia; Rodentia; Cricetidae
Gene: Acap1
Gene name: ArfGAP with coiled-coil, ankyrin repeat and PH domains 1
Exons: 22
Source: RefSeq, a predicted model, not a curated record